Molecule: ribosomal RNA, 466 nt
Filed under: uncultured bacterium
Lineage: Bacteria
Description: partial 16S ribosomal RNA
Rfam family: Bacterial small subunit ribosomal RNA
Source: RNAcentral
CUACGGGCGGCAGCAGUGGGGAAUAUUGGACAAUGGGGGAAGCCCUGAUCCAGCAAUGCCGCGUGUGUGAAGAAGGCCUGCGGGUUGUAAAGCACUUUCGGUUGGGAGGACUGCUUCUAGCACUAAUAUUGUUGGAAGUUGACGUUACCUUCAGAAGAAGCACCGGCUAACUCCGUGCCAGCAGCCGCGGUAAUACGGAGGGUGCGAAGCGUUAAUCGGAAUUACUGGGCGUAAAGCGCGCGUAGGCGGCUAGAUCAGUCGGGUGUGAAAGCCCCGGGCUUAACCUGGGAACUGCAUCCGAUACUGUCUAGCUUGAGUACAGGAGAGGAGAGUGGAAUUCCACAUGUAGCGGUGAAAUGCGUAGAUAUGUGGAGGAACACCAAUGGCGAAGGCAGCUCUCUGGCCUGAUACUGACGCUGAGGUGCGAAAGCGUGGGGAGCAAACAGGAUUAGAUACCCCCGUAGUC